RNAcentral lists this ribosomal RNA (522 nucleotides) under uncultured delta proteobacterium. Its description in RNAcentral is "bacterial SSU rRNA". It matches the Rfam family "Bacterial small subunit ribosomal RNA", at positions 33 to 523 of the family's 1533-position model. The record is from RNAcentral. Lineage: Bacteria; Deltaproteobacteria.
AAUUACGCUGGCGGCAUGCCUAACACAUGCAAGUCGCACGAGAAAGCCCCUUUUUCCGGGGGGCGAGUAAAGUGGCGCACGGGUGAGUAACGCGUGGAUAAUCUACCUCUUUCUGGGGGAUAACGCACCGAAAGGUGCGCUAAUACCGCAUAUUCCGGUUGGUUUUCGGAUCGAUCGGUAAAGGUGGCCUCUUCUUGAAAGCUACCGGGAAGGGAUGAGUCCGCGUCCCAUUAGCUAGUUGGUGGGGUAAAGGCCCACCAAGGCGACGAUGGGUAGCUGGUCUGAGAGGACGAUCAGCCACACUGGAACUGGAACACGGUCCAGACUCCUACGGGAGGCAGCAGUGAGGAAUAUUGCGCAAUGGGGGGAAACCCUGACGCAGCGAUGCCGCGUGAGUGAAGAAGGCCUUCGGGUCGUAAAGCUCUGUCAAGCGGGAAGAACAGCGGCGGGACGAAUAAUCCCGUCGUGUGACGGUACCGCUGAAGGAAGCACCGGCUAACUCCGUGCCAGCAGCCGCGGUAA